Leopardus geoffroyi (Geoffroy's cat) is the source of this 2146-nucleotide long non-coding RNA. RefSeq lists it as uncharacterized. The transcript has 2 exons. The record is from RefSeq and is a predicted model, not a curated record. Lineage: Eukaryota; Metazoa; Chordata; Mammalia; Carnivora; Felidae.
UUAGGUCAUAGAGCCAAAGUUCUCAGAUGCUAUCGGUAAAACACUCGUCUGUGGGAGCUUGUCAAAAAUGCAGAUCCCCUGGCCCCACUCCAGGCAUUCUGAAUUGAUUUAUGAUGGGCCCUAGGAAUCUGCAUUUUUCAAAGCACCCAUAUAACUCUGAUGCAUCAGGCUUUGAGACACAUCGCUAGAGGGGCAGAGAGCUUUGCUCUAGGGAGGGAUGAAGAGGACCUCUGUUUCUGGUUUCUCAUCUGAGGUGUUAAAUCAUGUAAAAAUAUUUAGGUCCUUUUACGGUUCAAGAAGAGAUUGGGAUUGUACCUUCAAAGCCAUUCAGAACCUUAGUGUUUUCAGUAAGAGAAAAAAGAGGAAGAAUGAGAGAAAAAGUAGUAUUAAUGGAGGGGAGUAUUAGGAUCUAUGUUGACCUUUCUGGGUCUGUCACCCCUCAGACUUACCCACCCCACAAAACAUGGCUGCCAGUCUCUUCUCCCCUUGAACUGAUCAGCCCAUGGACAUUUUCUGGAACUGUCAGAAUGAGACAUUGAUCCCCAAAGGAAAAGCAAUGGUAAAGAACCCUCCUAAUAACUCCCGUAUCUGUUCUGGUCCCCUAAUGUUCUUUCCUAAAAGAGGUUUUACUUAAAGGAAAUCUCCUGGUGUUUUCUUUGAGGUGGACACAGCUAUUCCUGUCUUCAUUGAUUUCUUCAUCUAAGUGAGAAGCGGCCAUUUUAGUUUUUCCUACCAUUUCUCAUGGCUUUUUGUUCCAGGCUUGACCCAAACUGAGGACAGUAUUAGGAGACGUCUUUGGGGAAGGGCCAGGGGUUGUUUAAGGGUCUAGAAUAUGGAAUCUCACAGCUAUUUGUGCCCUCAAAGUUUGAGCAAGACCAGGGCUUUCAUUUUACAGAGGGUGGUGAGGCAUAGAAAUGUUGAGUAACUUGCUGCAGAUACACAGCUGGUUGGUGGAUACUGGGUUGAAGAGUUUUGAUUGCAUCAAAUAGGAACAGAGAAUCGCUGAGCACAGAGCAGAUUUUCAAGGAAAGUUCAUACCUAGACCCACUCAGGGCCCAACCAAAACUGUCACUGAGUUUUCCCCUCAAGCCUGGCUGAUUCUGUCUGGGAAGCUCCAGGAAGUCUUGAAAAGAACUUCACAGAGGCCGACAGUUGAGGACGGUUGACCGAACGCGCUGAACCUAGAGAAAGGAGCGAGCUGGGAAGAUCCUCCCUUAUUGUCAGGUCAGCAAAAUCCCUGUCGGACCUCUCCACUCCCCUUUCCCCCAUGUUGAUCCAGUCAGCAUUAUAAACCAAGAUGAGAUUGUCUCUUCAAAAAGUGAUGCUAGGGGCGUGUGGGUGGCUCAGUCAAUUAAACCUCCAACUCUUGAUUUCAGCUCAAGUCAUGAUCUCACAGUUCAUAGGUUGAGCCCUGCAUCAGAUGAUUCUCUUUCUCUCAAAAUAAGUAAACACUAAAAAAAAAAAAAAAAAAGAAGAAGCAAUUCUAGAUACAUUUAGCUCCCUAAUAACACAUAAGACAAAAUUGCAUUUUCAAAUCAUUCCUUUUCAUCAAAAUUGAGAACUUCUCAAUUAGAGGCAAGUUUUUAAAGAAGCUCCUUCCUGUAAAAGUUCACCUAGUGGGGUAAGUUCUGAAAAGUGUAUAUUUGGCUGGAUCGUACUCUCAAACGAGGCAUAACCUUUCCUAUCCAAGAUGAAUUAAGACAAAAAACCUUCAAGUUAGUUCUACGAUUAUUUCACAACCCAGUGUCAACCAUCUAUGGACAGAAUGAACAGGGGAAUGGUUCCUGAGCUUUGCCGGAAUUACCCCCAUGAACCUUUUCCCCAGUUUCUGCAGAGUUUAUGAUUUUUGAGCGGGGCCAGAAUUAUAACCCUCUUUACAGCUGGAGAAAGUGAGGCAGGGGAGCAGAGCAUAUACAGCAUUUACUGUCACCCAGGGUUCCAAAAACUUGCCUAGAUACCACCCUGGCUGUGGUGCCAGAGCUCAGCUGCAAGGCCAAUUUCAUGUCUCCAAAUUUUUGGACACCGUACCUCUAUGUACUUCAUCAUACGUCUACUAAGAUUUUUCUCUUAUUAUAUUUUCUCCACUAUGUAAGUAAUAUAUGCAUGUUAUUGUUAAAAAUUAAAAAUGACACAGAGUGUUGCUUAA